RNAcentral lists this ribosomal RNA (254 nucleotides) under uncultured bacterium. RNAcentral's name for it is "partial 16S ribosomal RNA". It matches the Rfam family "Bacterial small subunit ribosomal RNA", at positions 524 to 776 of the family's 1533-position model. The record is from RNAcentral.
UACAGAGGGUGCGAGCGUUGUCCGGAAUCACCGGGCGUAAAGAGCUCGUAGGCGGCUUGGCAAGUCGGGUGUGAAACCUCCAGGCUCAACCUGGAGACGCCACUCGAUACUGCUAUGGCUAGAGUCCGGUAGGGGACCACGGAAUUCCUGGUGUAGCGGUGAAAUGCGCAGAUAUCAGGAGGAACACCGGUGGCGAAGGCGGUGGUCUGGGCCGGCACUGACGCUGAGGAGCGAAAGCGUGGGUAGCAAACAGG